CAGAAAGUAGUUUAUUUAAAAUAUUAAUUUUGGAGAUUAAUGAAAAAAUUAUUUUUUUUUCUGA
Molecule: transfer RNA, 64 nt
Filed under: Perisphaerus sp. 3 ZQW-2023b
Lineage: Eukaryota; Metazoa; Arthropoda; Insecta; Blattodea; Blaberidae
Description: tRNA-Pro
Source: RNAcentral